This 387-nucleotide ribosomal RNA is filed under the name uncultured bacterium. RNAcentral describes it as "bacterial SSU rRNA". It matches the Rfam family "Bacterial small subunit ribosomal RNA", at positions 773 to 1157 of the family's 1533-position model. The record is from RNAcentral.
AGUGAAUAGAUACCCCGGUAGUCCACGCCGUAAACGAUGGAUACUAGAUGUCGGAAGUUCUUACCCUUUCGGCGUCGUAGCUAAACGCGUUAAAGUAUCCCGCCUGGGGAGUACGAUCGCAAGAUUAAAACUCAAAGAAAUUGACGGGGGCCCGCACAAGCGGUGGAGUAUGUGGUUUAAUUCGACGCAACGCGAAAAACCUUACCUAGGCUUGACAUACCACGCUACCCUAUGAAAGUAGGGGUUCCCUUCGGGGACGUGGAUACAGGUGCUGCAUGGCUGUCGUCAGCUCGUGUCGUGAGAUGUUGGGUUAAGUCCCGCAACGAGCGCAACCUCUGCCAUUUAGUUGCCAGCAUUAAGUUGGGCACUCUAAUGGGACCGCUUGCC